RNAcentral lists this unclassified non-coding RNA (651 nucleotides) under Hevea brasiliensis (rubber tree). The record is from RNAcentral. Lineage: Eukaryota; Viridiplantae; Streptophyta; Magnoliopsida; Malpighiales; Euphorbiaceae.
AAAAACAGGACACCAAAUGUGAUGUAGCAGAAAGAGUGGGAAAAUAAAACAAAACAGAACAGAACAGAAAGCGCUUCCCAAUGAAUAUCUUUUAUCUCAGCAGAAAUGCCGACUCUAACGAGAUGAUGAGGCAAGAGCCGAUGAAGCCAUCCCCAGAGAAGAAUGGCGAACGGUUGGCGCUUUUGAUCUGUGCCUGCCUUUGUGUGCAACGCUUGCAGUGCUUCUGUGCCCACUAAUGGAAGACGACGCAAUAUGGCUUGUUUUCCGUGAUGUUCUUCUACGAGAAUUCCAACUACUGUUCCCUAGUGCAGCUUUGGCAACGCUAUCAGUUGCCACUUCUCGAGCUCUCUGUGCUUUGAUGGCUUGUUUGUUUAGAUAAACAAGGUUUGGAAGAAGGCCAGCAACUGCCUUGCGUAGCUGCUCAUCGCUCACAUUACUUUGAAUUGGAUUCCCCAACAGAUUAAGAGCUUGAAGAGAGUUAUAAUUGGCAACAAGUUGGCCCAGAGCUUUGGUUGUUGAAAUCUUGUUAAAGCUUAGGUCGAGAACUGUCAGCUUCAAGAUUCGAUGCAGUCCCUCAACAUCACUUAUCUUGUUGCCAGCAAGAUAGAGUUCUUUGAUAAUCGUACAGUUCGACAACCCAUGUCCUAUGCG